RNAcentral lists this transfer RNA (75 nucleotides) under compost metagenome. RNAcentral describes it as "tRNA-Gly". It matches the Rfam family "tRNA". From Rfam's summary of the family: Transfer RNA (tRNA) molecules are approximately 80 nucleotides in length. Their secondary structure includes four short double-helical elements and three loops (D, anti-codon, and T loops). Further hydrogen bonds mediate the characteristic L-shaped molecular structure. tRNAs have two regions of fundamental functional importance: the anti-codon, which is responsible for specific mRNA codon recognition, and the 3' end, to which the tRNAs corresponding amino acid is attached (by aminoacyl-tRNA synthetases). tRNAs cope with the degeneracy of the genetic code in two manners: having more than one tRNA (with a specific anti-codon) for a particular amino acid; and 'wobble' base-pairing, i.e. permitting non-standard base-pairing at the 3rd anti-codon position. The record is from RNAcentral.
GCGGACAUAGUAUAAUGGUCAUCACAAAACCUUGCCAAGGUUUAAAUCCGGGUUCGAUUCCCGGUGUCCGCUCCA